RNAcentral lists this ribosomal RNA (256 nucleotides) under uncultured bacterium. Its description in RNAcentral is "partial 16S ribosomal RNA". It matches the Rfam family "Bacterial small subunit ribosomal RNA", at positions 793 to 1055 of the family's 1533-position model. The record is from RNAcentral.
GUCCACGCCGUAAACGAUGCUAACUCGUUUUCGGGCCGCAAGGCUCGGAGACCAAGCGAAAGUGAUAAGUUAGCCACCUGGGGAGUACGUCCGCAAGGAUGAAACUCAAAGGAAUUGACGGGGCCCGCACAAGCGGUGGAUUAUGUGGUUUAAUUCGAUGAUACGCGAGGAACCUUACCAAGACUUAAAUGGGAAUUGACAGGUUUAGAAAUAGAUCCUCCUUCGGGCAAUUUUCAAGGUGCUGCAUGGUUGUCGU